UUACAAUUAUAAAAUAAUUUAAUAAUCUGUCAUAAAAACCUAAUUAUUACACAAUGUACUACUACAAUAAAUUAUCUAAUACACUUUUUAAGUAGUAUUGAAUCUAUAACAACCUUUGGUAACUUGUGGUAUAAAUUAACUAGUGUCUGUCUAUCCUGACUACUGAUACAUGCAUUAUGUCCCUGUCCUUUCGUAUAUUACUAUGGUAAAUAGUAAAUGAAUUGACAUGUUUCAUAAACAUACUUUUUCAAAUGUAAAACAAAAUAUUCUUAUUCAAAAUACAUUUUUGUCAUUUCUUCUCUGGUAGAGAGUGGUCUCAUUGUUCUGUGUUCACAAUUAAUUCAAAUUCGAUUUGCAUUAACUAAUUCCAAUUUGUAUUAACAAAAACGGAAUUCUAAUUCUAAUGCUAAUUGGAUAAUGCGAUAAAGCCAAUUCGAAUCAAUUCAAAUUAAACCAGGUGCUCCGCAGGGCGCAGCUUUAUACGACCGCAGAGGUCGAACCCUGAACAGUUGGGGCAAGUAUGGACAAAACAUUCAAGC
Molecule: long non-coding RNA, 539 nt
Filed under: Mytilus galloprovincialis (Mediterranean mussel)
Lineage: Eukaryota; Metazoa; Mollusca; Bivalvia; Mytilida; Mytilidae
Source: RNAcentral